GGAAGUAAAAGUCGUAACAAGGUUUCCGUAGAUCGAAMGUGACGCGRAGGAUCAUUAAAAAAAAAAAGUUGUGUGAGGCGGUGUCCUGGCAGUGCCAGGUAGCCGCUUAUACAUCAACACCCUCUGUAUAUCUACCGUGUUGCUUUGGCGGGACGGCAACCCAGUUGUCCGCAGGACCUGUUAAGGCCCCGCGAGUGCCCGCCGGAGAACCACCAAACUCAUGUUAAACCGUGAUGUCUGAGCUUUACAAGCAAUAAGUUAAAACUUUCAACAACGGAUCUCUUGGUUCUCGCAUCGAUGAAGAACGCAGCGAAAUGCGAUAAGUAAUGUGAAUUGCAGAAUUCAGUGAAUCAUCGAAUCUUUGAACGCAUAUUGCGCCCCUUGGUAUUCCGAGGGGCAUGCCUUUUCGAGCGUCAUUACAACCGUCAAGCUCUGCUUGGUAUUGGGCCUCCGCCCCCUGUGGGCGGGCCUUAAAGUCAUCAGCGGCUGAGCAAACGGCACUCUAGCGUAGUAGAAAUUAACUCGCUGGGGACCGGGGCUUGGGUAGCUGUUAAACACGCGUCUCUGGCGCACAUCUUAAGGUUGACCUCGGAUAAGGUAGRGAUACCCGCUGAACUUAAGCAUAUCAAUAAGCGGAGGAAAAGA
This 645-nucleotide ribosomal RNA is filed under the name Minutisphaera fimbriatispora. RNAcentral's name for it is "eukaryotic LSU rRNA". The stretch from base 263 to 416 matches the Rfam family "5.8S ribosomal RNA". The record is from RNAcentral. Lineage: Eukaryota; Fungi; Ascomycota; Dothideomycetes; Minutisphaerales; Minutisphaeraceae.